This 75-nucleotide transfer RNA is filed under the name Candidatus Aalborgicola bjergmarkensis. Its description in RNAcentral is "tRNA-His". It matches the Rfam family "tRNA". Rfam says of the family: Transfer RNA (tRNA) molecules are approximately 80 nucleotides in length. Their secondary structure includes four short double-helical elements and three loops (D, anti-codon, and T loops). Lineage: Bacteria; Pseudomonadati; Pseudomonadota; Betaproteobacteria; Burkholderiales; Comamonadaceae. The record is from RNAcentral.
UUGACUUUAGCUCAGCGGUAGAGCCCCGGAUUGUGAUCCCGGUGGGCAUCAGUUCGAAUCUGAUAAGUCAACCCA